This 1820-nucleotide long non-coding RNA is filed under the name Triticum aestivum (bread wheat). RNAcentral's name for it is "long non-coding RNA (TAES_LNC009757)". Lineage: Eukaryota; Viridiplantae; Streptophyta; Magnoliopsida; Poales; Poaceae. The record is from RNAcentral.
UGAUGAGUGAGUUAUAUACACUCCUGGAUCCUGAGCGUCCUCGGAGUUCUACUGCUGUCGACUGUCGUGUCAUCUCAAGCUGAUGUGCUGUCAGUUGUCACUGGUGUUAUCUGCAUUUCUUGUAGCAUUAUGCGAGCAUGGUGAACCAUGCUGAAUUGUGAUGUUGUGGAAUAAUGUUUAUGCACCUUACAUUUGAUCCCUGGCCUGCUAGUGUAUCAUUUGUAUUUACCGCAGUGAUUGAUUGUUUGUUUGCUUGAGAUGAAAUGCUGCACAUGUUUAGUGUUACAACCAAGGAACAAAAAGUAAAUUAUGUUAUGCAAAGUAAGGUAUCGAGUGAUUUAAACUAAGAAGUAUCCAAUAGGUUUGUUUCAUAUUGUCACUUCUUUCUAGAAAAGGAGGAUCACUUCCUGCCUCUACAUCAUUAUGAUGCACACAAGCAUAUAUUAUUAAAGUUUACCAAGCACCAGUACUGAAGUACACAAAUAACAAAUAAAAAGCCGGUGUGAAGUGCACAAAUAACAAAUAAAAAGCCACAACCGGCGAAAAUAUCACUUUUUUUAAUGGGCAGCACACUACUACAAACUACAAGAGUGCAAAAGGGAAAUCAAAUAGUCCUAAUUAAACUGGAGGCGGUAUGACUAAAUAUUGGUUUCUAACUAUAACUAUAGACACUGAGUGCUAAAUCAGAAUACAAUCAUGUCUGUAUUUUUUUUAAAAAAAAUCAAAGCUCAUUUCUUGGUUAAAGAUAAAUCUUGCAAAGCGCCUGCAACUUAUACUUUUGGACAACCUAAAUCAAAGGAUAUAUAUGAUAAAAUUAAUUUUAAUUUUCAUACAUUUUUAUUGUAGUUCGUAUCUCUUAGCAAACUUAGCAUAUAUGUCAGAUAAAUCUUGCAAAGCACAUGCAACUUAUACUUUUGGACAACCUAAAUCAAAGGAUAUAUAUGAAAAAAUUAUUUUUAAUUUUCAUACAUUUUUAUUGUAGUUUGUUUUUCUUAGCAAACUUAGCAUAUAUGUCUUGAUUUUAUUAUAGUUUUCAGAGUAGUUUACAAUCAAACUCACAUGAAGGGAUGUUGCUAAGAUAGUGCUUAUGAGUGCAAAUGUGCAGAUAAAAAAUUAUUGGUAAUGGUAUCCGGCGCAGAUGGCAAACAAGCGCAUUUUGCUGGCAGUUUUAGUUGCGACGCAUGAUCAAAUGAUGGAAGUUUCUGCCCGUUUUGUGUGACACGUUCAGUGUGACCGUGUUCCCCCACGUCGACCACAUGUUCAUCGCAAGUCUUGUUGUGAUCCUGGACGAGGUUCACAGGGACAAGCGUGAAAAUAAUUGAUGAGUGAGUUAUAUAAGCUCCCGGAUCCUGAGCGUCCUCGAGUACUACAGCUGUCGUGUCAUCUCAAGCUGAUGUGUUGUCACCGGUCACUGGUGUAGUCCUGGCUAUGGGCAGCCUGACCCGAAAAAGCCCGACCCAAUCUUGUCCAUUGACCUGGCCUGGGCCUAAAUUUUGAGCCCGAUGGCCGAGCCCGGGCCUGUCGUUUUCGCCGUUUAAGGAAGAGGCCCGACCUGUGGCCCGAGGCCUGGCGGGCUUUUAGCGUGAUGGGCCAGGCUCGGGCCCAAUUUUUAGGCCCGACGACCGGCCGGGCUUGGACCUGGGAUUUUUGCGUCGGGCUUUGGUUGGCCCAAAGCCCGGCCCGGCCCGGCCUGACAGAUGGCUAGGUUUACACUGGUGUUAUCUGCAUUUCUUGUAGCAUUAUGCUAGCAUGAUGAGCCAUGCUGAAUUGUGAUGUUGUGCAAUAAUAAUGUUUAUGCACCUUACAUUUGAUCCCUGGCG